UGGGGAAUUUUGGACAAUGGGCGAAAGCCUGAUCCAGCAAUGCCGCGUGUGUGAAGAAGGCCUUCGGGUUGUAAAGCACUUUUGUCCGGAAAGAAAUCCUUGGCUCUAAUACAGUCGGGGGAUGACGGUACCGGAAGAAUAAGCACCAGCUAACUACGUGCCAGCAGCCGCGGUAAUACGUAGGGUGCAAGCGUUAAUCGGAAUUACUGGGCGUAAAGCGUGCGCAGGCGGUUUGCUAAGACCGAUGUGAAAUCCCCGGGCUCAACCUGGGAACUGCAUUGGUGACUGGCAGGCUAGAGUAUGGCAGAGGGGGGUAGAAUUCCACGUGUAGCAGUGAAAUGCGUAGAGAUGUGGAGGAAUACCGAUGGCGAAGGCAGCCCCCUGGGCCAAUACUGACGCUCAUGCACGAAAGCGUGGGGAGCAAACAGGAUUAGAUACCCUGGUAGUCCACGCCCUAAACGAUGUCAACUAGUUGUUGGGGAUUCAUUUCCUUAGUAACGUAGCUAACGCGUGAAGUUGACCGCCU
This 526-nucleotide ribosomal RNA is filed under the name uncultured bacterium. Its description in RNAcentral is "partial 16S ribosomal RNA". It matches the Rfam family "Bacterial small subunit ribosomal RNA", at positions 355 to 874 of the family's 1533-position model. The record is from RNAcentral.